This 273-nucleotide long non-coding RNA is filed under the name Nicotiana benthamiana. RNAcentral describes it as "long non-coding RNA (NBEN_LNC004265)". Lineage: Eukaryota; Viridiplantae; Streptophyta; Magnoliopsida; Solanales; Solanaceae. The record is from RNAcentral.
CUGUCUGUCUCUUUCUUUCCUCCUUCUCUCUAGAACCUUCUGGUUCUCCUUCUCCGAUGGCCUUCACCGUCUCUCUGGUCACCUCCAGCCACGCCUCUUUCGACCACUAGCCACCUUGAAGCCUUAAUCUCACCAGUUCGCUCCACCUCUAGGACUCCAGGAGUCUUCACCAUGCAAUAUGGUCACUGAAGCUUUUUUGGAGUUUGUUUCCGGCCUUUCUGUGAUGGAUUUUGGUCCUAUGGUGCUGUAAACACCAUUAUCCUCAAGUUUCAC